This 24-nucleotide small nuclear RNA is filed under the name Arabidopsis thaliana (thale cress). Its description in RNAcentral is "snRNA_04541". The record is from RNAcentral. Lineage: Eukaryota; Viridiplantae; Streptophyta; Magnoliopsida; Brassicales; Brassicaceae.
UUUCUCCUUUGCUGUUUUGUCAUU